AGUGUGAGACGUGUAGCUAGGGCUGUGCACUCCACAGAGCUGGUGGGAGCUGGGAAUAGGUGAAAACCCUGCCUCCUUGUGAGUUGGCAGGACGGGAGCCUCCUGUUCCCUGGCUGCUGUUGUGGCCACCGAGCCGCAGCCCUGGAGCCAGGCAUCCCUGUGCUUGGGGAUCAGAGCGAGCAGGAGCAGAUCCUCUCCCUUCUGGGUGCAGCUGCAGCUGCCCAGCCAUGGCUGUGGUCCCGGAAGUCUCUGUGCUCUUGGGAGCUGGGAGGGCCCUCUGCCUCCUGCCCCUUACGCACUCCAGAGUCUCCUCUCUGUUGAGAGCUAAGCAGACAUCAGGACUACCAGCUGCAGAGAGGAGCUACCCACUGUGGGCUUCGUCUCUGCUGAGAGCUGAACACUCACUGGGACGCCCUGCCUAUGGAAACCAGCUGUUCACUCUGGGUCUCCUCUGAGCUGUUCUGUCGCUCAGUAAAGGUCUUCUUCUGCUUACUCGCCCUCCAUUUGUCUGCCUUACCUCAUUCAUCCUGGACACAGGACAAGAACUUGGGACUUGCCGGUAUGGUGGAGCUAAAAUAGCUGUAACACAAACAGGAUUGAAACAUGCCCCUUGCUCGCCACAUUGUGGAUGACAAGAGGGAGGGAAGAAAGGAGAGAAGAUCUGCGACCCUUCGGCAAACCCAGACUUAGGAGAUCGGAGAGCCAAGACUGUGACACCCUUUCUGGGGCUCUGUGGUUCCUGGCGUCUCCAAGCUUCUGGGCACCUCGGCUUUCCCCGGUGCCAGUCGUGGAAGCUGCUUGUGGCCUCCAUUUGCUGUUUGGGAAACUCUCUACGCUAUGAAUGUUAGCUGGCAGCAAACACUGCCUCCCACUACAGGGGCACACAGUGUUGGUGCCUGCUUUUCCACCCUCCACUUCCAACAGGAAGCAAGCACAGGACCCAAGCAUUGCAGACAGUUGUAUCACGCCAAUGUGCAUUCGGAGCCACUGACAGAGUCUUGCUUUGUCACCCAGGCUGGAGUACAGUGGCGUGAUCACAGCUUACUGAAACGUCUGCGUCUCAGGUUCAAGCGAUUUUUCUGCCUCAGCCUCUGGUGUAGCUGGAAUUACAGUGUUAGCAGUCACUGAUGCUCAAACAUGAGAAGACUGGGACAUCCAUCAGAUAAGAAACGCUGCCCAAAGUGUUAGACUAAUAAGUGACAGGGUUGGACAAUGAACCCAACCACUCAACCUUCCGGAAAAGUGAGUUUUAAACAAUAGAUUAUGCUAAUCUUAUCAGAAAAAAACGACAUUGUCCGGGCACGGUGGCUCACGCCUGUAAUCCCAGCACUUUGGGAGGCCAAGGCGGGCGGAUCAUGAGGUCAGGAGAUGGAGACCAUCCUGGCUAACACGGUGAAACCCCGUCUCUGCUAAAAAUACAAAAAAUUAGCCGGGAGUGGUGGCGGGUGCCUGUAGUCCCAGCUACUUGGGAGGCUGAGGCAGGAGAAUGGCAUCCACCCGGGAGGCGGAGCUUGCAGUGAGCAGAGAUCGCACCACUGCACUCCAGCCUGGGCGACAGAGUGAGACUCGAUUUCAAAAAAAAAAAAAAAAAGAAAAAGAAAAAAACGACAUUUCUGGAGCAAGUUUUCAAGAAUAAUGUCCUAUCUUCUUGUUGCCACACUGUACGUCAGGUCUCAAGUGAUGAAUUAAAAAACAAAACAAUAAUAUUGUAGCUCUUUUGCUAUAUUUUAUGAUAAAGUAAAAUAACUCUAUUUUCUAGAACCUAGGUUGUCACACUUGUAGAAGAUGAGAAAGUAGUACGCUUGACUUCACCUACAAACCAUUUAUUGUAUAACCUAACACACUAAGAGGCCCUUUAUUUCUCAUGCAUGUAUCAAAAAUGCUAUAAAGUUACUAUUGAAACAUAAUAAUUAGUGAAAAUAAUAUCUCUUACCAUGCAGAUUAGAACUUUUCCUAUAGAAGUCCAGAUACUCAGUGACCUAAAGAAAAAUCUUCUUACAUAAAAAAGGUUUCAACAUAUAAUAAUAAAACGUACCUAUCCAGGUAGUCAUACCAAUUAGCCGAUACAAUCUAGAAUUAUGGAAAUCUGGUUGGUUGUAAGCACUUUCUUUGACUCUUCCUUUUCAUUUCUUUGGCCUUGAAAAUAAAGUGGCACAGCAAUAAAUUCAGGUAAAGAACAUACUGGUGAUAAUUUUAUAUUCAGUUCAAGUUCAGUUGAUCAUGUUAGGUGGAGUGCUUUCAUUAAAAUUCAACAAUAUAUCUUGGACAUUUUAUUGUUUUGUUUUUUCUUUCAGCACGCAACUAUGUAGGUAUUCCAAAAUAUAUCUAGAAAGAUUCCCAGUGCUUUCUGCAUUCUAAAUGUGCAGAACCUUCAUGGUUCCUUUUUGAAUUACACAUAUUAAUAUAUUUUCAAUUUCAUUUUUCUUAUGAAAAAUAACAUGCUUCUUGUCUGUUUUGUUAUCUGCUUUUUAGUCAUAAUAAAAAUGUUACUUUAAGUCAAAAAAAGCUACAAAAUCAACUUCAAUCUGGAUUAUAUGCAGGAAAAACAUUACAAAAGUGACAAAUUGAUUUUAUGUCUGUCUAAUCAUUAUUAAUCAUCUUCUCUACUUUUGUUAGUGAAUAACCAAAUUAAUAAAAAUUUAAGAACAUAUCAAAUAAGUAAAAGUAACAAGUUUUAGUAAUGCAAAACUAAACAGAUAAUUUGAAAACGUGUAUAGUUUGAAAUUAUAGAGAAAUCCUCUCAAUUUGUGUAAAAAAAUAAUGAAAGCAAUAUGAUUGAAUAUGAAGCAAUAUUAGGUAGUACUGAAGCAAUUUUUUUUUCAUAUUUUGGCUAUAUACUAGGUAAUUAAAAUCCUUCAUCAGUUCCCUUCCCCUUUAUCACAGGCUCUUUUUAUUUCACAGACCAUUUCCUUAACUUCAUAGUGUUUUUCAUCUCAUGGUUUAUAACAAAUUCCCAAAAUAAAUUUGGAUCCAUUUUAACAUCCAAUUUCUUGCCAGAGUGAGCCUGACCUAUCCUAUUCUCACUUACUCUGCUCAGCUAUGUUUUUGCAACAUUUCCAUCUUCAGUAUCAAAAAAUGUAUGUUAUAGAAUGCCCUAUAAAUGGCAUAUUGAGAAUAAAGUGAUGAAUAGAAAUGACAUGAAAAAUAUCAAGUUUCUAAUGCCCAGAAAAAAUGUUAAACAUGAGCCUAAAACUCAAAAAACUUCACAUAGAUUAAACUUAUUUAAAUAACUUUUGCUCUCAAAGUUGAUUAUUUACCAAAACAGAGUGUGGGUCACUAGUUUACAAGUACUAAAUGAUCAAUAUGAGCAAAGAUCAUUAAAAAUUUCAUUCAUUAAACUGUCCCAUUAAUAUCAAUUAGAAGAUACUUAUUCAUUGAUUAGCUUAAUAUUUACUACAUAAAGGUAUGUAAUUUUUUGUGUUUUAACUAAAUGGGCACAUAUAUGUAUGCAAAAGUUGCCCUAUCCCAUUCAGCAUACAUAACAACUUAUUUGGCAAAACAAAAAUUCAGGAAUAAUAUACAAGAGAUCUAUUAUACACCAUGGUGACUAUAGUUAAUAACAAUAUAUUGUACCCUUGAACAUUGCGUUUUAGAAUGUAGAUUUUCGUUGUUCUCAUCACAAAAGAAUAAUAAGAGUUCAUGUAUAUGUUAAAUAGCUUAAUUUAGUUAUUACACAAUGUACAUAAACAUCAAAACAUCAUGCUGAUCACCAUAAAUAUAUAUAAUUCUUGUCAAUUAUAAGAAAAAUAGAGUACAGUUUUGAUGUUCUUGCACAAUUAAAGAGAAAGGAGAAGAAAAGUGGAGUCCCUGGGGCAGAUAUUGAGUGAGUUAGGAUAUUGGAGGAUUUGUGUUGGAGCAAAACAGGACUGCAAUGAAAUGUCAUGCUUGAAUGCAUCUUGCUUUUGGUAACUGCCUGAGGUAAGCUUCACAGGCAUAUUCACAAUUAGUCUCACUGAACCACAUUUGACUAAUAUAAUUUGGCUCACAACUAUGCUAUCUACACCACUAGGUGAAGCACUUCUUUAUUUUAUUUUAUUAUUAUUAUACUUUAAGUUUUAGGGUACAUGUGCACAACGUGCAGCUUUGUUACAUAUGUAUACAUGUGCCAUGUUGGUGUGCUGAACCCAUUAACUCUUCAUUUAACAUUAGGUAUAUCUCCUAAUGCUAUCCCUCCCCCGCCCACCCCACAACAGUCCUCGGUGUGUGAUGUUCCCCUUCUUGUGUCCGUGUGUUCUCAUUGUUCAAUUCCCACCUAUGAGUGAGAACAUGUGGUGUUUGGUUUUUUUGUCCAACAACAGGUGCUGGAGAGGAUGUGGAGAAAUAGGAACACUUUUACACUGUUGGUGGGACUGUAAACUAGUUCAACCAUUGUGGAAGUCAGUGUGGCGAUUCCUCAGAGAUGUAGAACUAGAAAUACCAUUUGACCCAGCCAUCCCAUUACUGGGUAUGUACCCAAAGGAUUAUAAAUCAUGCUGCUAUAAAGACACAUACACACGUAUGUUUAUUGUGGCACUAUUCACAACAGCAAAGACAUGGAAUCAACCCAAAUGUCCAACAACGAUAGACUGGAUUAAGAAAAUGUGGCACAUAUACACCAUGGAAUACUAUGCAGCCAUAAAAAAUGAUGAGUUCAUGUCCUUUGUAGGGACAUGGAUGAAGCUAGGUGAAGCAAUUCCUUUCCUGAGGAAAAUAGAACUCACUCUGCUCUGGCUUGUAUGAGGAGGAAUAGGAUAUAAGCAGUUGAGGAAGAACGGUCCAUGAGUUGCCAUCCUUCCCUCUUCCUGCCUGCCAGAAGAGGUAGAGCCCACUGAAGAAGGAGCAGAAUAAGGAAUGGAAACCUUAGUUACAAGUCCAAGAAAUUCUACCCACUCUACUAUUUUUUUAUGUGUAACUUGAUUUAUAGUUUUUACUUUGAAAGAAUGUAACUAUUGUACAUGUUUCAUAAAGUAUCAAUAGCUGAAUAGACCAAGAAAAAAUGAUUGUCUACCCGCUUUCUAUGCCCACUCUUUUGCUGGUGGAUCUUUUUGCAGUAAUGGUCAACAGGACUAGCUAGCUCUUUCCCUUAAUGUCUACAAAUAAACCUGCAAGUUCUUUUAGUUUUAAAGGAAAUAUUCAUUGCCACAGGGAAUAGGCAGGGGAUAAUAAAACAUAAUGAAGUGAGAAAGAUUCUGUGUCAGUCGGGUUAGAUGAUGUUUUGCUGUGACAACAAACAAGUCUCCCAUAUCAGUUAAGAUUUAGGAUAAUCUAAGUUAAGAUUUAAGUAAAUUUCCUUGCAAAUCUAGGUGGUCGUCAGAGCAAUUAUCCUUUACAAGCCACACCAAAAGAGGCUUAACCAUCUUGUAGACAUAUAUCUGAAUAUAGAACUUUCUACUUCUGUGGGCCAGAGAAUGAGUGAAUGAAAGACUCAAGCACUAGCUAAAUUCUUUCACCCAGAGACAACAUAUAUUAUUUCCACUCAUAUUUUCUUGGUCAAAAAUCAUACAGGAAUGCUAACUUUUGGGAUCAGGUCAGUAUAAUAUUUCUUUGCAACCAGUAUAGAAAAGAAAUAGAGAUAAUUUCUUCCACAAUUCUAAUCUUACAAGUUCCUUAAUCUAUGGUUUCUGAAUGUAUUUUAGCAUAAUAAAAGAAAGUUUACAAGUAUGAGGUUUCAUACAUGAUUAUCAAAUAAUAAGGUAUGAAUUAAAAUACAUAGGUAUAGCUAGGAUGCUUAACUGGAGCUAGAAUGUAAAAAUUAUUAUAUGUAAUACACACACACACACACACACACACACACACACAGAGUCAUGUACCACGUAACAAUGCUUCCAUUUACAAUGAACCACAUAUUUAACAGUGGUCCCAUUAGAUUAAAAUACCAUAUUUUUACUCUACCUUAUCUAUGCUUAGAAACACAGAUACCUAUGAAUGUGUUACAAAUGCCUUUAGCAUUCAGUAAAGUAACAUGUUAUAUGGGUUUGUAGGCCAGGAACAAUAGGCUAAACCGCAUAGUUUAGGUACAUAGUAGGAUAUCCCACCUAUGUUGGUGUAAGUACACUCUAUGAUGUUCAAAAAAUGCUGAAGAGUCUAAUGACCCAUUUCUCAGAAUGUACCGCCAUCGUUAAGUGAGACAUAAUUGUUUAUAUAUAUAUAUACAUACACACACAUAUAUACAGGCAUACCUCAUUUUUGUUUCGCUUUAUUGUGCUUUUUUAGAUACUGCGUGUUUUAUAUAAAUUGAAAGUUCGUUGUAACCUUGUGUCGUGCUAGCGGAUUGGUGCCUUUUUCCAAUAGCAUGUGCUCACUUCCUGUCUCUGUGUCACAUUUUGGUAAUUCCUGCAAUAUUUCAAGCUUUUUAAAUAUUAUUUUAUCUGUUAUGGUGAUCUGUGAUCAGUGAUCUUGGAUGUUAUGAUUGUAAUUCUUUUGGGUAUCAUAAACUGGAUCCAUAUAAGAUGAUAAACCUAAUUGAUAAAUGUUGUGUGUGUUCUGACUGUUUAAGCAACUGGCUGUUACCCCUUUUUUCAGACCUCCCUAUUCACAGACAUACAACAAUAUUGAAAUUAGGCCAAUUAAUAACCUUAUAAUGCCCUUUAGACAUUCAAGUGAAUAGUCACAGGUCUCUCACUUUAAAUCAAAAGCUGGAAAUAAUUAAGCUAAGUAAGGAAGGCAUGUUGAAAGCAAAGACAGGUCAAAAGCUAGGCUUUUGUACAAAACAGCCAAGUUGUGUAUGAAAAGGCAAAAUUAUUGAAGGAAACUAAAAGUGCUACUCCUGUGAACACAAAGAUGAUAAGAGAAUGAAACAACCUUAUUGCUGAUAUGGAGAAAGUUUGAGUGGUCCAGAUAGACGAUCAAACCAGCCACAAAGCCUAAGAGUUAUAAGCCUUGCCUGUUCUGCAAGCCAGAAAACUCAAAGCCUAAUUCAGAACAAGGCCCUAACUAUCUUCAAUACUACAAAGAUUGAGAGAGAUGAGAAAACUUCAGAAGAAAAGGUUGAAGCUAGCAGAGGUUGGUUCAGGAGGUUGAGAGAAAGAAGCUGUCUCCAUAACAUAGAAAUGCAAGCUGAAGUAGCAAGUGCUGACAUAGAAGCUACAGCCAAGUAUACAGAAGAUCUAGAUAGGAUAAUUAAUAAAUGUGGCUACAUUAAACAAGAUUUUCAGUGUAGAUGAAAGAGCUUUCUAUUGGAAUAAAACACCAUCUCGGACUUUUGUAGAUGCAGUGGAGUCAAUGUCUGGCUUCAAAACUUCAAAAAACAGGUUGACUCUUAUUAGGGGCUAAUGCAGCUGGUAAUUUUAAAUUGAAGACAGUUCUUAUUUACCAUUUUUAUCUUUCAAAAAAUCUUAGGGCCCUUGAGAUAUACAUGAAAUCUACUCUGCCUAUGCUCUAUAAAUGGAUCAUUAAAGCCUGGGUAGCAGCACAUCUAUUUACAACAUGGAUCACUGAAUACUUGGAACCUAUUGUUGAGAUCUACUGCUAAGAAGAAAAGAUCCCUUUCAGAGUAUUACUACUCAUUGACAAUGUGCCUGGUCAUCCAAGAGCUUAUAUGGGAAGUAUAAGGAAAUUAAUGUUUUCAUACCUGCAAACACAACAUUCUUUCUCCAGCUUGUGGGCCAAUGAACAAUUUUGACUUUCGUGUCUUAUUGUUUAAAAAAUGUAUUUUGUAAGGGCAUAUCUCUCAAAGCUAGUGAUUAUUCUGAUGGAUCUAGGCAAAGUAAAUCCAAUUUUCUGGAAAGGGUUCACUACUAUAGAUGCCAAUAAAAACAUUCAUGAUUCAUUGAGAAAGUCAAAACAUCAACAUUAACAAGAAUUUGGAAGAAGUUAAUUCUAAUCCUCAUGAAUAACUUUGAGGAACUCAAGACUUCAGUGGAGGAAGGAACUGAAGAUAUGGUAGAAAUAACAAAUGAACUGGAAUUAGAAGUGGAGCCUGCAGAAGUGACUGCAUUGCUCCAAUCUCAUGAUGGAUGAGGGGCUGCUUCUUAUGAAUGAAGAAAGAAAGUGGUUUCUUUAGAUGGAAUUUAAUUCUGGUGAAGAUGCUGUGAAUAUUGUUUUAAUGCCACCAAAGGAUUUAGAGUAUUCCAUAAUACUUGGGAUAUUGAUAAAGCAAUGGUGGGGUUUGAGAGGACUGACUCUAAAUUUGAAAAAACAUUCUUGUGGAUAAAAUGCCAUCAGACAGCACCACAUGCUACAGAGAAAACUUUUAAAUAAGGAAGAGUCAAUCAUUGUGGCAAACCUCAUUGUUCUUUUAUUUUAAGAAAUUCACACAGCCAUCCCAACCUUUAGAAACCACCGCCUUGAUCAUUCAGCGGCCAUCAAUAUUGAGGAAAGACCCUCCAUAAGCAAAAGGAUUACAACGUGCUAAAGGCUUAGAUGAUCACUCGCAUUUUUUAGCAGUAUUUUAAAUUAAGUUAUGUAAAUUGUGUUUAAACAUAAUGAUACUGCACACAAUAAAUUACACUAAAAUAUAAACAUAACUUUUAUAUACACUGGUAGACCAAAAAAAUUGUGUGACUCACUUUAUUAUAAUAUUUAAUUUAGGCCAGGCAUGGUGGCUCACACCUGUAAUCACAGGCGUAGGUUGAACAGCCAGAUGUGGAGACACUGUCCAGCUGUACAAGUUAUUUUUACAUAGAACAACUUAUUGCACAUAUCUGUAUCCAUGUAAACAAAUACUUAUGUAGGGCAGGAGAUAUAACAGUCUUCCUUGUUAAAGAAGACACUUCAAGUUCAAAAGAGGCACUCUUCUAUUUUAAUGCUGCCCUAUAAAAUUGAGGCAAGCCCUUUGCCAUCCUCUUAGAGAAAAAGUGAGGCAUCAGGGCAGAGUUUUAAUGACCUUCUGGACUGCUUAUGAUGACUUUUCUGAAUGUUAUUUAUUAUUACAUAGUAUCUCCUCCACAUUUUGUUGAUCUAGUUUCUAGUAAAAGAUCACUUGAUUUUAUUUUUUAUAUCCCUACUAACCCAUGUGCAUGUACACACAUACACAAAAAGCCAUGACCAAUAUUUUUGUUUUAUAAAUGUACUCUGUAGACUUUGAAAUAGCUGUAGAAGAUUGAGAAAAUAGCCUAGUGGCUUAAAUGAGAAAAGAAAGAUCAAAACAAAUAUGAGGCACAAUCCCCUCUUGUUUUGUUUUAAGGAAUAAAUGAGCAUUCUGACAGACCUCUAGCAGGGGGGCCUCUGGAAGAAAGCCAGCCAGGUCUCUAGGAUCUUCUCUUGAGCACAACAUGCAAUUUGAAGAAGGUUUAGGAUUCAAACCCAAGGGAGGGUUUGAAGCUUUGGACUCUGGAAGGUUUCAGAAUUAGGAACUCUGGAGGUGGGCUGGGUUCUACUGAUAGAUCUCCCCAGGUGUGGUCCCUCCUUGCUCCUGCAUUCACUCUUUCCUCAACACUCCUUGCAGCAUCCUGCCUCAGCUGCUGCCUAACUAACAGAUGGCUUAUGAUUUGUACAGGUUAGGAGACUAUGACUCUUCAUCUGUACUAUAAUUUGGGACACCUGAGGGGGACACUGUAGCUUGGUUACUUUCAUCUGAGUCUUCUAUGUCUGCCACUUAUCAUUGAUUUAUAAUCCUAUUACCUACAUAAUUAGUCACAAGUGGAGCACUGAAUUUUGGAAGGGAGAUUUCACUCUGUUCAAAUGCAAUCAGUCCAUAUGGUAGUUGCAGGAAAUGAAAAAGAGGGAAGGUAUCUAGGUCAUUUCUCAGGCAUACUUUAAUCUAUCCCUUGAGCCCAGAUACUGUAGCAAAUGCUAUACCAGAGCACAUAUGCCUGACAAUAGCUGAACAUGAGGGCCACCCCCACCUAUUAAGCCAUUCUAUAUUCUAUAGAGGACGCAAGUGUUCUGGGGUUAGUGUCAAUAUGGGGUGAGGCUAAUGCCUCUUGACAUAAAGAAUUAUUAAGGACAACAGUAAAAUUAGUGGAAUCAUUGCAAGCAGGGUGAAAAGUUUUCCUGAUGCCUUCUAAUAUAGGAAAAAUGUGAUGGUAGACGUGGCCAUGCCUACCCUAAUGUAACCAAAAGUAGUCCCAAUCAUGCAACAAAAAAACGGAACAUGGAAAGAUGAAAUCGCUGCGUUUGUACUUAUAUUGCCUCCCAACCUCUGACCCCUACUACCACUUAAAAUAGAAGAACAAUCUAUUUGAUUUCUUUUCUCUAGCAGUUCCCUCUCUGUUUGUGGUUCUAUUUGAAGGAAAGAAAAUAUGCUCAGCAUGUACUUUUGAGUAUAAAUUGUAUCUGAUUUUUUGUUUUUGUUUUUGUUUUUGAGAUGGAGUCUCACUCUGUUGCCCAGGCUGGAGUGCAGUGGCGUGAUCUCGGCUCACUGCAACCUCCACCUCCCAGGUUCAAGCAAUUCUCCUGCCUCAGCCUCCCGAGUAGCUGGGAUUACAAGUGUCUGCCACCAUGCCCGGCUAAUUUUUUGUAUUUUUACUAGCCUCGGCCUCCCAAAGUGCUGUGAUUACAGGCAAGAGCUACCAUGCCCGGCCUUAUUUUUGAGAUUUUUUAAAUUUGCCUUUAAAGCUGUUUACUGAAGUAUAAUAUAAAUACUUGCAAGUAAAUCAGAGUGUAGGUCAAAUAAUUUUAAAACACUGACUGUGUUGUGUAACUAGCAUCCUAGAUCAAAACUCUCAGAAGCCUUUUCAUAUUUCCUUUCAGUUUCUACUCUCUUCCAAAAUAUAGACAAAUAUAACUGAUAUUUUUUCUAUUUUUUUCCCUCAAAUGUAUGAGUAGUAUUGGAUCUACUAUUAAUGUGCUUUCCAAGGUUGAAAAUCUUUGCUUUAAUAGGCCUAAACUACAGUCCAGUUCCAUUUAAUGCACAUCUCUAUAGCCUUAUUCUGGUCAGUUUAAUAGCUAUUUUCAGAAGUAUACAGUAAUUUGGAUCCAAAGAUAUAAGCAAAUGGAAAUCUGACUUGUAACAUACUCUAGCUUGGGAGAUUCUCCACAAAUUAAUUACCCUUGACUUUAAUUAAUGUAACCCCCAAGUAAAUAUAACUUAAUAUCCAACCUAUAAAAUAUAUUCCAUUAAAUCAUAAUAGUCUACUGGCAUGCCAAAUUUUUUUAACAGUGUUCAUUUUUCAUGCUUGUGAAGUAGAUAAAAUUGCAUUGUAUAUCUUGAAAUUUGGACUUCUCUUAGUGUUUAUCUUCCUCUUACUGUUUAUCUUCCUCUUAGUAAGAAUGCAGCUUCCUCUCAGGGUAAAAUCAGUAUUGUUUUUGAAUUUCCUUAUCUGUUUAUUUUCUUGAUAUUUUGGCAAUUAAUAUCUUACCCUCAUGCUAAAGUUCAAUUCAAAGUAUCAGAAAUGUAAGAAUCCCCCCACUAUUCAAUGAAUCAUCCUCUGAGGUUGUAUUCUUUAGGUAAAUGCAAGUUGUCUGCUUUUCACUGACAUGAUUAUGCCAAAUCUUACACAAAUAUUCCCAAACAGCAUGAUAAGCACACAUAUUAUCAAAGGUAUGGGAGGAGGAGAAACUAUCAUUUUGAAGACCAGUCCCUGUGGUAAAAAUUUGAUUGUGCAGGAAAUGUGAUUGGCACAUCACAUCUCCGACCUUGUUCAUUUUUCAGUGAACCAUGAAUCUCAGAAUAUUAAAUAAAUAAGACUUUAUAUGUGAUUUCACUCUCAAAAACUAAGAACAAGCAAAAACAACACAAUAAUAAUAAACUCAUACAAAUACUCCUAUAUUUUAUAAUUUGGAUUGCACUUGUUACUACAAAACUCUGCAGGUUUAUUUCUUUGACAACACAAAAUAAAUGUGAAUUUGGAACUUAUGGGUUGAACUGUUAAAAUAUUGUGAACUAUGCACAAACUGUGUAUAUGAUGUAGAACUGAAUAGUUUGCCCCAUUAUGAAAUUUGUAAUGUGAUAGUAGACACUAGACACCUAACAAGAAUUAAUUUAUUUAAAAAAAGGAAAAUUACCUGUGGAUAUUUACAAACUUGUCUUUAGAUUUUCAAAACAUAUUCUCUAAAGCUUUUCUCCUUUUAUAACAAUUUUAAACACACGUUCUGUAAGCUUUUCCUCUUUCAUUACCAUUAAAUGGGACAGAAAGAGAGACUGGAUGUAACUAAACUGAAAAGGAAAGUGGCAGAUGACUCAAAUAGGAGAAAAUUUUAAAAAGGUUAAAAUUAUAGAAACACUCAUUUGCUAUAGAUGUCAUUAAAAUUGUAUAUCAAAAUAUUUAUGUGCCUCCUUUAUCGAAAACAUAAAAGCCUACCAGCUAUACAAAAUUGAUAGUAUGAAAUAGGUUUCUCUCUCUGACAUCACCCAGGAUAUUUUAUUUACCUUAUAUAUUUCCUUAAAAGAGAGUGAAAUUACAAACCAUUUUACCAUAGGAAUUUUAGGAAGAUAAUUUUUCAUCUUUUCUGUAUGGCAGUAUUAAAAAUCCAAAUAGUAAAAAUUUACAGAAUGGCUUAUUCUAUUAUGCCUUUUGCUGAAUUUCUUCAUUAUUUAUUAGUUUGUUUUUCAACUUAUCCAAGGCUUUCAGUUGUUGUAGCCUCUGGGAAAUAUCCUCAUAUUAUAAAAUCCACAUACAAUUUAGAGUGAUUGACAGGCUCCAAUGAGGAGGGAUCAAAACUGGACCAGCAGGGGCAUUACAUGUCAAAGAAGGUGCACAAACAUAUCCCAGAGAUGCAUAGAAUUUCUUUAUAUAUGUUUUACUAGGCAUAUAUUUUGCAUCAAUGCCUAAUUUGCUUAAAUCUGGGAAAAUAUUUCAUGCACUGAAAAGAGUAAAUAAUGAAGUAAAACUGAAAGAGUAAAAUACAUUGACUAAAAAAGCACAGUUGAUGGUAGAUGAUGUACUGUACUGAAAGCGAAUAAAACAACAGAAGAUUCUUUCACUAUUUCUUGAAAGAUAAUAUGAUCCAUAAUAGAAGACUCUGGACAACCAGGGGAUAAUGAAAGAAGUUAAAUAAUAACAGAAUAGAAUAUGUAGAAAAAUAAUAAGUUUCUUUCUGAGGUUAUCAUGAAGAAAAUUGCAGACAAGAUGUCUGGAUUAAAAAGAAAGCUUCAAAGAAGCAGCAUGAAUAUUUUCUUUAAAAUAAACACAUGCAGUUUAAGACAAAUGCUGAUGGACACAAUAAGGACUUCUUGAUCAUGAAAUACAUAAAUCAAAGUCAAACACAGUUUUCAGAAAAGUUAUGAAUGCAGAUGGCAGUGAGUUGAUAAAGUAAAAGCACAAGUCCUUAAUUGGUAUAAAUAUUUACAAAAUAUUUCAUAUCAUCAUCCCUGUAGUAAUUACAUGUGGAGCUGAACAGAAUAUGUGCAGGACAGUGAAAAUUUCUGUGACAUUUUUCCUCAUUAAGAGCUCACUUCUCUCUUUUAAUUCUUUUCAAAAACAGUUUUAUGAAUACUUUUUUUCAGUUUUAAUAUAACUUUGUGAACCUUGAAUGUGAACCCAAGUACUUUAUAACUUACCAGUGUCAUCAUGCUGUUAAGACUUGCAUCUGGAAAACACUUCGUGAGUUUGGGGGCUGUACAGUACCCCUGGACUUACAGUUGGAAAGGGCCCAUACCUGAGUUAAUGCUCUGCUAUUGCUCGGUGGAAAUUCUUAAUUUUUGAACAAGGGACCCCACAUUUUCGCUGUGCACUGGGCUCUGCAAAUUAUGCAGCCGGUCAUGCAUGCUUUCCUUCAAAGUUAAAAAUCUAUUUUGCUCUCUUUUUCCACUUCCCCACAGAGGCACAUCUAAGGAAAAUUCUAUUGCCAGUAAAACUAUCUUUAGGAUGAAUCACUAUUACUCUCUCUCUCAUUUCCUCUUUGUGGAAAAUUUCUGAGGGAUAUUCUAAAAUGUCUACAGAUGUGGCAUUAUAUGAUUAUUGUUGCUGCCUAGGGAUUCCUCCUUAUUGUUUUUCUCAAGUGUUUUAUUGCUAUAAAUUAAGUUAGGAAACUCAGGGGCAACAUAGAUUUGUGAGAAAAUGAUGAACAUGAUGCUUUAAAAUUAUUAUGGGGCAUUCAUUGGGAGAUUUCUAGAAGGCAUUUGGUGAAAUGAUCUGGAGUUUAGGAGACUGGUUUAGGAUAGGAGUCAUCAGCCUUUACGUUUUUCAUGAAGUCAUUUCUGUGAAUGUCAGCAGUAAGGUUGAGUGUGUAAAUUGAGAAGUUCAAGGCCAGAUACCUGGGAAAUGCUGACUUAAAGGGUCGCAAUGAGAAGUUCAUACUAGACAAAAGUAGCAUACAGAGGGGUAGAAUGAAGGAAAACAAAGUCAAAACUUAGAGAAUACAGAAACAAGAUUUAGAUUUCAACUCCAUUAUAUGUGUCUUAUGCUAUUGUCAAAUUGGGCUGCGUUCCACUUUUUCGAAAGACACUACCCCUGUGUGUUUGCCAGAAAUUCACCACUUUUUUAUUGUCAAAAUUGUCAAAGAUCAUGCUCAAAUAUCACUCUUUUUUGCUGUAUUUACUGAUUCUCAGAGAUAUUGUGAUGCCCCAGAAAUUUAUUUCUACCUCUCUUUUAAUUAUUUCUUAGUUUGCCUUGUCAUUGAGUUUUGUACUUUUCUUAUCUUUUCUAUUGCAUAACACAUGGUUUUUGUGCAAGAUUCUUGGGCAAACAUCUCUCUACCUCCAUCAGAAAGUAAUACACAUGAGUGUACACAUCAGUGUACACAUGAGUAUGCCCAUGAAUAUUUGUUGAAUAUAAAUAAAUUGUUAGAAUUGAGCUGAGUCUAGCUGGCUGAUUGGCAUAGCUGGUGGUUGUGGCCCAAAGCCUUUGAGCACCUAUGGGCACUCUAGUCUGAGUCCUAGAGGGGCCAGUCCCACCCAGGAAUGGCACCACUGGAGCAGGCACCUUGAGAGGUCUUAACCCUUGCAAUAUGUCAGUGCCAGGGGAAAACGCAUCCCCUCCUCCCCAACCUUAGGCCCAAAUUUUCAAGGCUGAGGCCCAGAGUGGGCUUGCCUGCCAUAGACUCCCCCUAUACUACAUAGUCUUCUAGGAUCUCUGUGGGGCUCACUGUGGGUGAUCUUCCAACUUAGUUGGAACAUGGAGCGACAUGCAGUAAACAGCAAUACCUCACCACAGAAUACUGGUUUAGAGAGUGGACAGAUUCUGCAGCAGGAAAGGGGUUAUGCCUUGAUGUUUCAAGUCAGUAGAGGCCUGUUAAAUCACACCAAAUGACAACAAAUCAUUGUCCAAGCUGUCCCUGAGGGACAAGGCUAAACCAUCCUACAAGUAUCUAUGUUUGGGACACAGCCUUGUAGCAGAUAUAGUUGGUCUUGUGGAAAUAGAUCGAGGUCUGGGGGAAAAAAAGUGGAGGAUAGAGAUACAGAGGGAAAGACUUUACAGGUUCAGGGCCAACAAGACCAGACUCAGAAGAUUGUCAUCCAGCACGUGCAGACAGCCCUCACCACCAGCCAGACACACAAAGAAGCAGAUUGCUAUCCAAGGGCAGCAAGUAGGACAGAUCAUGGUCUACCAGCCAGUUAAUGCAGAUGGCAACAUUCUCCAGCGAGUCACAGCCACCAUCUCAGCAGCCACUUUGACAGUGGCAUAGACUUUUCAGACAGCAAGCCAAUACCAACACAACCAGCAGUGGGCAAGGAACCAUCACUGUAACACUACCAGUGGCAGAUUAUGUGGUCACUUAAGGAGAGACAGUCAUGAUGGUGCCUGGGCUGUCUCUGUGACUGCCACCCAAAGAAUCUCUCACCUGGAACAGAGAUAGAAAGACAGCCUCCCAAUGUGAAUGUGGAUAACAACUAGUGACAUCAUCUUUGUUAAGAGGAUGUAAGCCUGGGCUGAACUAGAGGUACAAGGAACAUUCCUAAGGGAAAAAAAAAAAAAAAUAUAUAUAUAUAUAUAUAUAUAUAUAUAUAUAUCUGCAUAAUUCGUGGUAUGGCAUAAAAGUGUGGCAGAGUUGAAUGUUUUUUUUUCCCAAAAUAAAAGAAUAGUCUCCAUAUGCAGGUUGCAGACCAAGUAAAUGCAGCAGCAAUGGCAUGCAGAAUUUGAGUGUUCUCAAACCAGGCCACAUGAUAGGGAUGUAUUAUUUGUGACUGUGUUCCACUACUCAAGGAAAUUGAUCAGCUCUUCCAAAAGGACACCCAUGAUCAUAUUCUGCUCUUUUCUGCAGGACAGCAACCACUUAGUUUUUAAUGACAGGCUCAAUAUUAUAAUUGUAGAAACAUCUAGAAAAGUGAAAUUGUAUGCGUUUGUCUUUUCUUUUCAGUUCUGUGCCUAUUUCAUACUGUAGAUAAUAUUGACAGUUCUUAGAUUAGGAUAAAUCAAAGAACCCAUGCCAGCCAAGGAGUACCACAUAAGCACUUUUGCUGAUGGGUGAAGCCGACCAUCCAUCUCAGCAGGAGAGAGUAACCUUUUCAACCUAAACCACAGUCAGGGAAGCUACAGUCCACACCUUCCCACAGAAAUGUGGUUAGAGGGCAUCUCUCUUUCUGGUUGGGUAGCUCAGUCUACCAAACUGCACAGGCAUUUAAUAUUUAGAGAUGACUUCCAGAAGAGGAAGUUUGUCUUCAGACAUGAAAACAAUAAGUCCUCUGAGAUACAAUAAAUACAUACAUACAUGAAUUGUUUAUCUUAAAGCAGUGAUUUUCAAAAAUCGCUUUAAGAAACCUCAGUUAUAUAUAAAGAGUUGUUACUUUAUAGCAGAGGAGUCCUUUGGCCAGUAAUUUUGGUAAAUAUGUUGCAAACUCAAGCAGGUUUCUAAUACUCUAGGACUUAUCAAAUCUUCUGUUAUAUUUAAGCUUUGUGAAUCUUAGAGAGAGAGAUAGAGUGCAACAUUUGUCAAAAUUAUUUAACCAUAAAAUCAAUGUAUUCAUUUCAACAAUCUCAUGAAACCAACUUUUCUGUGAAAUAUGCUUUGGAGAAUAUGUUAAGAUUUAAUUCUUUCUUAUAGAAUACAAUAUGGAUCUAUAUGAUGCUAAUUUGGUCAUAUACAUGUAAAAGGAAUGACAUUUUGUUAAUUAAAAUUUUUUGGUAAAAAUAAUUAAAGUGAUAUUUGAUCAGAUUUUUAUAUAGGACUAGUGUUUUCCCUUCGUGUGUGUGUAUAUAUAUGUGUGUGUGUGUGUAUAUAUAUAUACACACUCACACAAUAUUGUGUAUAUAUACAAUAUUGCAGCUACUGGUUAUUGCAGCAUAUUUGCUCUGUGAAAUCAUCACUUUUACUAUUUCACAUUCUGAGCACAUACUCUUCUUGUUCUUUUUUUCUUUGUCUUCCAAUUCAUUAUUUGUGUUCUCUGAUUUCAUUAAGAGUUCUUAUUUUUGAUCUAGUUAUCUCCCUCUCUAUCAGGGCACCCUCUAUUUCUAUCUGUAUUAACCCUCUGAAAACAGGAAUACACAGAGGCCACUCCAAACAUGGACAUUUGCAAUGCCUAGAACAUUGUGCCAGUGGAUAUGUGAAUGAAUUAUUCCCUGUCCCCCACCUGCACAUUAUUCCGUUUUCUUGCUCAUUGCCACUGUAUCAGAAGGGCCUUUCUUUACUCCUAACCAUAUUAGCACCAUCUUGUCACAUGUCUUUCCCUACCUCUUAUGAUCUAGAUCAUUAAUUCUGGAGUUUUAAUUUUAAGGUAUACUAUAUGGGAAAAGGAGGCACCUCAGGAGUUCAUGAGAAAUAGCAUGAAAAGCUUGGGAUGCUUAUUCCAUGGAACUUAAGACAUUUGCUGAGGUUCCAGAGUAUUAUCAAAAAAUUUAAGAAGAAAAAUCAGAUUUUUAAUACAAAGAGCACAUCAUAGAUGUGGUUUGUAGUUUGUAGACAAAAAAUAAAAAAAUAAAUAAAGAACAAUUAAAAGGCAACACUGAAUUUUAGGAUAUAAAUUAUAAGUACUUGAAAAAAAAAGCAAUGUUGUUUUAUUUUGUCCAGUGCAAUUUACAUAAUUGAUUGGCUACCCAGGGUCCAUUUUCCUUUUGCAUUAUUCUACCCCACCCAUCCACUCCAUGUGCUGUGGAGAAGGUAGACCACAUCCCCAGCUGGGAAGAGAGGGCAGAGUUGAUUUAAAUUAAUCCAUAUUUUGUAUCCCAUUGGGCAGGCCUUGAUUAAAUAGUGGACAAAAAUAAAAUUACUUUUAAUUCUUGCUGGGAAUCCUAGAUCUAAAGGGCUCUGCCUCUAGGCAUAUAUGAGACCCAGAAUUGUUGUAACCAUUAGAUAACACACUAAAAAAAAUUAUCAUGCACAGUUAAAAAAUCACAGACAAAUACAGCAAAAUCAUGACUGAACCAUGACGUUUCACAACUCUACUUAUAACUUAAGCCACUUUGUACUGAGCAUUGGUUACUUCCAGCAGAAACCAUCCUAAAUGAUAAUACAAAUAUAUUGGAAUCAUCUAAUACAAAUAUAUAUAGAAUCAUCUAACUGAUUCAUAAUCACUUCUAAACCAUUGUUUAUAUCUCCUUUUAGAAGAUCUUGUCUGUUUUUGCCCGAAGUGGACAGAUCACAAGGUCAGGAGUUUAAGAACGUCCUGGGCAACAUGAUGAAACCCUUUCUCCACUAAAACCACAAAAAUUAGCUGGGUGUGGUGGCACGUGCCUGUAAACCCAGCUACUUGGGAGGCUGAGGCACGAGAAUCGCUUGAACUCAGGAGGUGGAGGUUGCAGUGAGCCGAGAUCGCGCCACUGCACUCCAGCCUGGAGACAGAGCAAGCCUCUGUCUCGAAAAAAAAAAAAAAAGAAAAGAAAGAAAAGAAAAUAAUUAUUAUAUUUUACAGGUCUGUGAAACUGAAUAAGGCAAGUUUAGGCAGAACGAGAAGAAUUAACUUUCAAUGUCCUUGCUUUAGCCUCUUUUAUCAGACCUUUAAAGUUAUUUUUAUAUUGCUUUGGUACUUAUUUCUUUUACAGCAUUUGAAAAUGUAUUUGUCUGUCAGGGCCUGGAGAGAAUUAUAGAGAAGGCUGACAGAUGAUUCUGUCAUCACUCUAAAUGUCAUUAGCCUGCCAGUUUUCUCCAGAGCAAAUGAAAGUACUUAUAUAAACAGGAAAAAAUUGGAUGGCAAUAUAAAUAUUUUCAUAGUGAUUUAAUAAUAUCUAGUCACUUAACAAAUAAUGUUAUCUACAUGCUGUAUAUUUAAUACAUAAAUUAAUAUGAACGUUAACUGGCAGUGUUUAUUUUUUCUAUGUUCCAUCAUGAAGAUAUUAACAAUAAAUAAUUGGGAUAGCACAUGAGCAUAAAAUACAUUUUUUUUCAAAACCUAUGCUGGAUGACACAUAAUGUUAAUUAGAAAUGUUAAAAAACAGAGAGCUGGCACUCUAACUUUCCAGUUAAGCAUUUCACCACUUUAAAAUAUAUAGCUAUCCUAUUUAUCAUGGCACACAAGUACCAAAACCUUUUUUAAUUGAUAAUAAUCUAUCUAAUGUCCAGCUUAGACAUGUUUUUCUUAUUUUCUUUUUUCUUCAUGCAGUUGUGCUGUAUAUUAUUGCAAUUUCUUGAAAAAGCUACACAUUAUCAUAUCUUUUUGCAUUUAUUUGUGUGUCUUCUUCUGCUUGAAAAGUUUUUUAUUUCCCACCUAAUCUAACUGGUGAACUGUUUUUCAUCUACCAACCUUAGCCCAUAUUUUACUUUAAUGAAGUCUCUAUUGAGUCCCACAGGUGGCAGAAGUAAUAGACUCCUUCCUGUAACAUUUAAUGAGAUGGUAACUGUAUAUGAACAAGUAUUCUGACCAAUAGUGUUCCCACAGCACUUUGUAUAGAUCACCAUUAUAAUGCUCAUUAUCAGCAGCUAAUUUACCAUAAUGUGAAUAAAAUGUAAGAUUCACAGCCCCUCAAUUUUAUAGGCAUCUUUGAAGUGCCUAUAGAUGGUUUCCUAUUUGUAUUCAGUACCAUUUUUCGUAAAGAGCGUCUCCCAAGUAGUAUAUUUCAAACAUAGAUACACAGUUAUUCCUCACAUUGCCUCACAGUUAUCCAUCAUUCUAGUCUGAGCGAUUGUCAAGGAUAAAUUUCUUGUCUUAAGCAUGCUUAUUUCUUUAGUGAUUAUCACUCUGUUUAUACAGCAUUCAAUAAGGAUCUAUUGAACAAGUCAUAUCACUGAACUCAUGAUGGAAUUGGAUAUGCAAUGAACCAAAAAAAAGAGAGGCAGAAAAUUUCUUUAGGAGAAAAAAAAGAAAGAAAAAAGAAAAGUUGAUUGAUAUACUUACUUGCCACACCUGGAAGACAGAAUUAGAAAGUUUCCAUGUCAGCCUAUAUAGGUGUGUAGCCAAGUUGAGCAAUCAGCAAGUGUUUUAAAAGAGCAGGUUAAAUUUUUGAAAUAAAAAAGGAAAUUAUAUUGGUGGGUUUGUUGUUCCAGCUGUGUAGUUGUGAUUAGCAGAAAAGGCACUUUUACACAUUUUCAAAAUAUGGGAAAGCCUUCUAUAGAAGUUAUUAGGUUAUUCCUUGGGGAAACCAGGAAGAGUGAUUUCUGUUACUUUGACAUUACUUCAUCCAUACCUGUAAUCUGCUCUGGGAAUCAAGUUAUAAAUUAGGCCUUAGUCUCAACAAUUAGCCCUAUACUUGUAUUUGUAGUGAAGGAAAAAUUAUCUAUCUUUGCCUUGUAAAUAUUUGAAGGUCAAGCUCAGUUGACCUAGAAAUAACCUCUAGAACAUAUAGUGAUGGAGAACUUGAUAAUUUAACAUUUUAGAAAAGAUAUUACACAAGUAUUAGUUGUUUGAUCUUACAUCCUCUAGAAAUGUUUACUCAAGUUUCAGUGAUAGGAAAUAAAGUGAAUUUCAUAUUAUUUUAUUUUAUUAACUUUUAUUUUAAGUUCAGAGGUGCACAUGCAGGUUUGUUACAUAGAUAAACUUGUGUCAUGGGGGUUUGUUAUACAAGUUAUUGCAUUACUCAGGUAUUAAGCCUAGUACCCAUUAGUUAUUUUUCCUGAUCCUCUCCCUCCACCCACCCUACAUCCUCCAAUAGGCUCCAGUGUUUGUUGUUCCCCUCUAUGUGUCCACGUAUUCUCAUGAUUUAGCACUCACUUAUAAGUGAGAACAUGCAGUAUUUGAUUUUCUGUUCCAGCAUUAGUUUGACAAGGAUCAUGGCCUCCCUCUCCAACCAUAUCCCUGCAAAGGACAUGAUCUCAUUCUUUUUUCUGGCUUCAUAGUAUUCCAUCAUGUGUAUGUACUACAUUUUCAAUGAAAGUGCCCAUUGUAUUACUCUUCAUUUCUCUUAUUUCCUACUCUUCAGCCACUUUUUCUCUUAGCACAUUCUUUUAAGGUUUUAUUUCUUCCUAUACAACACACCAGUUAAACUAGAAGAAAAGAAAAAUCUUAACAAUUAAUAUUAUUAUACUUAAAUGAAUUAUUUUUAUGAUGUUUUAAAUUAAAUCAUCUGUUUUAACCUAAUUGUUCUUGUAUACUCGUAUCUUCAUUUUGUGCUAAAUUCUGGUUUUUGCUUUUUUAUUUUUUAUUUUUAUUUCAAUAGUUUUUGAAAUACAGAUGGUUUUUGGUUACAUGAAUAAGUUAUUUAGUGGUGAUUUCUGAGAUUUUGUUGCACUCAUCACCCAAGUAGUGUACACUGUGCCCAAGAUGUAGUCUUUCAUUCCCUACCUGCCUCCCACCCUUCCCCCUCAUUACCCAAAGUCCAUUAUAUCGUUCUUUUUGCCUUUGCAUCUUCAUAGCUUAGCUCUCACUUACAAGUGAGAACAUACAAUAUUUGCUUUUCCAUUCCUGAGUUACUUCACUUAAAAAAUGGUGUCCAGUUCCAUCCAGGUUGCUGCAAAGGCUAUAAUAUUCUGUUUUAUGGUUGAGUAGUAUUCCAUGGUGUAUAUAUACCACGUUUUAUUUAUGUACUCAUUGGUUCAUAGGCAUUUAUGUUGCUUCCCUACUUUUGCAAUUGCAAAUAGUGCUGCUCUAAAAAUGCAUGUGCGUGUGUCUUUUUCAUAUAAUGUUAUAUUUUCCUUUGGGUAGAUACCGAGUAGAGAGAUUGCUGGAUAAAAUGGUAGUUCUACUUUGAGUUCUGUACAGAAUCUCCAUACUGUUUUCCAUAGUAUUUGCCCUAGUUUAUAUCCCACCUGCCGUGUAAAAGUGUUCUCUUUUCACCACAUCCAUGAAAACAUUUAUUUUUUUUUAUUUUUUAUUAUGGCCGUUCUUGUUGAAGUAAGAUCUUAUCUCAUUUUUAUUUUAAUUUGCAUUUCCCUGAUAAUUAGUGAUGUUGAGCAUUUUUUCUUAUGUUUGUUGGCAGUUUGUAUAUCUUCCUUUGAGAGUUGUCUAUUUAUGUUCUUUGCUCACUUUUUGAUGGGAUUAUUUGUUUUUUUCUUGCUGAUUUGGUUGAAUUCCUUGUAGAUUCUGGAUAUGCAUAGUUUGCAAAUAUUUUCUUGCACUCUAUGAGUUUUCUGUUUACUCUGCUGACUUUUUCUUAUGCUGUGCAAUAGGUUUUUAGUUUAAUUAGGUCCCAUUUAUUUAUUUUUGGUUUUGUCGCAUUUACUUUUGGGUUCUUAGUCAUGAAUUAGGUGCCUAAACCAAUGUCUAGAAGAAUUUUUCUAAUGUUAUCUUUUAGAAUUUUUAUAAUUUCAGGUCUUAGAUUUAAGUCUUUGAUCCAUUUUGAGUUGAUUUUUGUGUAAGGUGAGAGGUGGGGACCCAGUUUCAUUCUCCUAUAUGUGGCUUGACAGUUUUCCCAGCACCAUUUAUUAAAUUGGUGUCCUUUCUCCACUUUAUGUUUUUGUAUGCUUUGUUGAAGAUAAGUUAGCUGUAAGUAUUUAGCUUUUUUUCUGGGCUCUCUAUUCUGUUCCAUUAAUCUUUGUGCCUAUUUUUAUACCAAUAUCAUGCUGUUUUGGUAGCUCUAGCCUUGUAGUAUAAUUUGAAGUUGGGUAAUGUGAUGUUUCCAGAUUUGUUCUCUUUGCUUAGUAUUGCUUUGGCUGUAUAGGCUCUUUCUGGAUUCCAAAUGAAUUUUAGAAUUUUUUUUUCUAGUUCUGUGAAUAAUAAUUAUGAUACUUUGAUGGGAAUUGUUUUGAAUCUGUUGAAUGCUUUGGGCAGUAUUGUCAUUUUCACAUAAAUUCUGCUUAUUAACAAACAUUUUUCUCAAUAAAUGAAGAAAUUUAGAAAUUAGGGCAAGUCUCAUAUUAUUUCAUUAUUUAUUAAAAUAUGUCUUUGUUGUCUUCUUAAUGAUGAUUUAUGAUAUAUGUAUACACACACCCAAACACACACAUUUAACCCUUGAACAACACAGGGGUUAGGAGUGCUGAUCCCCAUGCCAUUAGAAAUUCACAAAUAACUUUUGACUCUCCCAAAACUUAACUGCUGAUACCCUACUGUUGGCCAGAAGCCUUACAGAUAACAUAAGCAGUCAAGUAAUGCAUACUUUUUGUGUUACAUGUAUCGUAUGCUGUAUUUCUACACUAAAGCAAACUAGAGAAAAGAAAAUUGUAUCAAGAAAAUAAUAAGGAAGCAAAAAUAUAUUUACUAUUCAUCAAAUUGAAGUGGAUUAUCAGAAAACUCUUCAUCCUUGCCGUCUUCAACUUUGAUAGGCUGAGAAAAAGGAGGAAGAAGAGGGGUUGGUGUUGUCUCAGGAGUGGUAGAGUUGGAAGAAAAUUUGCAUACAGGUGAAUCUAAACAGUUCAAACCUGUAUUACUCCUGUUGUUCAAGGGUCAGCUAUGUGUGUGUGUGUGUGUAUGUGUGUGUGUGUGUUUGUGUGUGUUUUAUUUUCUUAGGUCUUAGACAAUGAAAUGAAUGGAAACAUAAGCCUGAACAUAGGAGAACAGGCAGAUUUUCCAUUAUUACUCUCCCCUAUAAUGUAUUAAUAAUAUGCUUCAACAAUCUUAAUUGCUUCAAUGACCUUCUUAAUUUAACAGAUUCAACCUUCUCCGUUUGUAAUUUUACCAGAGUAAUUGGAUAAGUAGGCAUUGCAUGUACCUAAACAAAUUAGGCAUUUUAAUAAAACCUCAUUAUUCACAGCUCAUUAGACAAAAAGUCAGAUUUUUUAUUAUUUUCAAUCAUACUAUAGAGUAAGGUUCAAUAUUAAACACCAUACUUUGUGUUUUAGAUUUAAGUUGUUCACAACAUAAAUUUCAAGUCAAUUCUAAACUAGUGAUAAGACAUUUAUAUUGUAUUGAAAGGUAUCAUUUUAAAUUUUCUGUGUGUGAAAGAAUUUAAGAUGCAGUUGAUAGAAACUAGGUAGCAGAACUAAGGAGAAUUUGUUUUUUUUACCCUUUCUAUUUUAUUUGCAUGCAAAAUUGUAUGAGUUUCAUGCAUUCUGGUUUGGUUGUCACGAGUGGUUCAUGUUUCUAGAGCAAGAUGGCCUUCAUAUUUCCUUCAGCCUGACUAAACUUUAGAUAGGUUUAGAACUGACUCUAGGCCCAUAACCUUUCUAUUCUUAGAGCACUUACCUUAGAAAACUUGUGAAUUAUUUCUUUGCCUCUUUGAAAUGUAAACCAUUUUACAAGCUUCUCACUGGUUUUACAAACCAGAAAUGUCUUUCUCAGGAACCUUGGAACUAUCUUUUUAAAAUGCAAUCAACAAAAAAGAAAGAAACCCUAUAUUCCUAUUUUUGUUGAAUAUUAGGAGCCUAACUUUGAUAGCCAUCUUGCCCCAAGUUGUAAAACUAUAUCUUGUCAUGAAGAUAUGAAAAGUUUGCUUACACAGAUGGCUUAAGACUCCCCUCUUUCCUCUCUUCAGCUCUGAAGAAUCCUUCUGCUUUGUUUCAGUAGAGUUUAACUCAGACUGAGAACUGGCAUCUGGCUUCUAUUUCAAUAACUUUAAAUAAAGUCUUCCUCAUCUGUUUUUGCCUGGUGUAAUUUUUGUUUUGACAUCAUAAAUUAUUUAUAUGCUUUCAUGGUUUAUUUUUAUAUAAGCUCUUGUAUCUUUACAUGAGUGUUGUUAUUUAAUACAGAAUAUAAUUUAAUACUCCUUUAAAUAAUUUCAUUUGAUAUAUGAACUUCCCACAGGUAGUGAUAAAAUGUAGCAUACCUGUAUAAUCCCUUUCUCUGUAUCACCUGUUGUAAAGAUUAUCACACAGAAAGCUUAACAAAUCUAGGAAUUGGUCAACUUCAAAUAAUAAAAGUUUUUAUUAAAAAAAUUACUGUUGUGAAAAAAAUUCAAUAAUUGUAAUGCUUUUGAAAAGUGAUACCACCAUGAAACUGUAAAUAAGGCUACAUGGAAAUAUAAUUUCAGGUCAUGCUGCCCUCCGUCUUCCCCCAAUUAAAAUAAAUAAAACUGAUCAAAGCAAUACUUGAAAUGAUUGUGAAUGCAUUUUUAAACAUGGAAAUAGUUAAAGGGAUGGAGCUUAAACUAUUCAAUAUUGCAGUCUUUACCCGAUGCAUCUAUACUAAGGAUUCAAGCAAGUUUGGAAAUCUAGAGGACUAUUAGACUCUUGCACUUUCAAUGGCAGGUAACCAAAGCUCAUCUCAAACUGGCUCAUGUAAUACAAAGGACCAGGAAUAACUCUGGCUUGAGCUGAGCAGCAUCCACUGCUGAAAUUAUAUUUUCAGAAUAGUUUUCCUCUCUCCCUCUCUUGGUUUUGUCUCCCUAUGUUGGCUUUAGUCUUAGGAAGUCUCUCUCUUAUUGGCAAAAUGCAUUCUGAAGCUCACGUUCCCUCACAUAAGCAAUUCCCCACCUGCCUCUGUGUCCUAAACUAGAAUAUCAAUUUCCUAGUAUGUUACUCUAAUACAAGCCAUCCGUUUGAGUCUUUGUGGACAGGCUUAGAUCAAAAGCAAUCCCUAAAUGAAUCAAUGUAGUGGGAGAAAUGGAGUAUCUUUUUUAUUUUAUUUUAUUAUUAUUAUACUUUAAGUUUUAGGGUACAUGUGCACAAUGUGCAGGUUUGUUACAGUGUCUUGCCUGGAAUAUAUGCUUGUUCCUGUGUCCUGGGGGUGGAUUACUUCCUAACAAGUCACAGGAACUUAGAGAGAAAAUAUGUAGCUAUACAUUACAAGAAAUAACAACUUAUGCUCUCCCUUUGCAUUUUGCACUGAAGAACUUCAUGAGGAGAAAAUUCUCUCUGAGGAAAGACUUGGUGAAGGCACUUGAGCUGACUCACAUCAAUGGUUAUAUUUCUCAAAGUUAGACUCAUACUUGGUACCACUGUUGCUAGUAUUGUCUAUUUAGGUUAUCCUCUUAAAAACCCUCAAAAUUCUUCACAUAAUAAGGGCAUUGGGAGCUACAAUAAAUAAAAUAAAAAAUAUAAAUUGAGAAUUCUCUAUCUCUCUCUGAAAUAUUUAUAGAAAUUGCAGACAUAAAUCCUUUGAUUUGUGUAUAUUUACUGGCUUUCAAUGGUGUUGUAGUCACACCAAUGGGCAAUAGAAUAAUAACAAUAAUAAAACAACAAAGUAGAUAUGAUCCCUGACUGCAUGGACUCUGCAUUCUACAGAAGAGAUCGAUAACAAACAAUUAAAAGGUUAAGAAAAACUUUCAUUGAGAUGGUUAAGCUUUUACAGUGUUGGACUAUUGGUUGCACAUGGGAUUACUAAAAGAAAUGGGGAAUCAGCAGAAAUCAUAUUUAACAUGGAAAGGCUAAAGGCAUUGCCACACAUUCUGAAAUUUAGCAAACUCUGCAUAAACAAGAGAAAAAUAAAUGAAAAACGGCAAAUGCUACAUUGUAGCCAGAACAAUUGUUUGUUCAUGGCUUAAUUGAAAGAACUUGAGGGAGGGAAAAGUGAUGGCAAAUUUAUGGUAAGGGGAUGAGACAGUGCAAUGCUGUUUUGUAUAAUUGUAUUUGAAAAUAUGUGGCAGCUUUGAAACGAGCUAUUACAGACUAGGGAAAAUUAAAAGUUACUUUCUGUUAAAAGAUAAUACUUCCUUAGAAUAAUGUAUUUAACACUUAUAUUGAAAUUAAAUCUUUUCCACUCAUUCUCUUUAUGUCUCUCCCUCCUCCUUUUCCCUUUGUUUUUUUCUUUUUCUCUCAUUUCUUUCAUUUUUCACUUUCUAUAUUUCCCCAAAGGAAUUUUAUUAGUAUUGGUGACUACUAAGUAUUAUACAGAUUAGCUCUAAUCUCUGUAUCUGCUAACAUAACAUGUAAAUAAUCGAUACAAGGAUGGAGGUGCACACUAUGUAAACUAUUGAUAAUAGGAGUAACAACGUGACAUAGAAAGCAAAAAAAAAUCAAAUUAAUAGCUGAGUAAAACCAUGAAUAUGUAUUUCUGAAGCAUGAGUUUGAGGAAAACUGUAAUGCGCUUGACAUGUAUGGAAAAUCUGUGACUUAGAUCUUAGCAUCAUUAGUCAGGUAAAAAAAAGAAAAAAACAUGACAAGCCAAAUCAAAGACAACCAAAACUACAAGUCUGGAAGUAAAGCAGGAAAAAAAAAUGUCCCCUUGCCUCCUUCCAACACACCUUUAAGGAAAUAGUGCCCUGAGAAAUGGUUCACUCACUUCAAGGAUAAAAAGGAGAUGGAGAUGGUAAAAGUUCACUAAAUCACUGGUGUGCUAAAUGAUGACAAUUAAUUGAACUCAAAUCAAAAGAAUAUAGGUUUCAUUACAGUAGAUUUUUGAAGCUGGUACUGUAUAAUUAAUAGUUUAAUACAUUUUGAACUUUGUUAAUUUCUCCAUAAUAUUUUUGAAAUGUUAGGAACUUAAUUGCAAUUGUUUAUUUGAACACUGACUUUCUUCCUUGCUUGUUAGAAAGGCGAUACUGCUCAUUGAAGGGUUCACUGCAUCCUUAAUUUUUACUUAUGUCAACCACAGAAAGGCCUACAGAUGAUUUUGAGUUUAUUUACACAAACCAUUCAAGUAGUCAAAUCUCUCUGUGAAUCUCUUUUAUCACAUAGAAUCCCCCUGCAAUUAUAAAGAUACUACAUAUUCUUUGUUACUCUUGCCCUUGACUUUCUUUUUUUGUUUUUGAUGAAAUGAGUGAACACUCAGCACUUCUUCCUAAAAUUACCCAUACCUCCCACAGCAUUAAGUUUUAAAAUUAAUAAAAAGACAACUGCAUGUACUCCAAGUCUAUCAGACUGUAAAAAUUGUAUCACUGUGAUGGGUCAUAAAUAUUAGAAUUUAUUCUAUUAUAUUAUAAUUCUUUUGAUGAAUAACAAAUUACCAAUACAAAUAAUGAGUAGGUCUGGGAACAGCUUUUUUUAUAACAAGAAAGAAAGGGACUUGUUAGAUAGUUUUCACUUUGAACACAUCACACACUUAAAGUAUAAACAGAAAAGAUUUUAACCAUGAUACAAGUCCCUGACUGAGUAUUGUAGUUCAUUUUGACAGAGGAAAACAUUUCGGUGGACACGUGAAAUUUUACAAGCAUGUCUCGGAAUAAUUAAAUCUCUUAAAAACAUUUUUUUAUGAUCUGCUUUAUGAAAAGUUAAAUUUCAAUACAAUUUAUAUGAAAAAUCAUUUUAGCCUAACUUCCCACUAAUAGUAUUUCAGGGAAUAAUUUUAGAAAUAACGAAACACUCAGUGCCACUGGUACUGAAUUUUGGCAUAUUCUGAAAUACUUAAGACAACCAUCAUUUAACUAGGAUAAUUGUUAGUAUCUCUGGAAAUAAUCUUUUGUAGAGAUAUCAUCAUGUCAGUAAAUCAUUGCUGUUUCCUUUGUUUUGGUUCCAUCUGUCUACUAAAGCUUGUAUGAUACAAUCCCUAUGGACUUUAUUAUAGUAGGAGAAACUUAUUUAUAUAUUAGAAUACUGUACCUAUGUGCUGAAAACUAUGUGAAGAUGGUAAGUAAAAGUAUUAGAGACAAUGUUAAUAUUGUUCAGAACAUAUAUUUUUAAGCAUUCUUUAUGUAGAGAUGAAAGUAAAUAAAAUGAUUUUAUUAGUAAUUCAAUGAAAUUUAUUCUUGUUUUUGAACAGAGUUAUGGGAAGAGCAAGGGGAAGCUUGGCAAGUUUAGGUAGUCUUAUUCAAUAUUAUGUUUUCAAGUUUAAGGGCAAAUACGAAUUAAAAAUAACACCCUUAAUUCUCCUAAUUGGAAAUAAGGGAAGAAAUUUUCAUCUCCUCUGUUUUGUUUUUAAUUGUAAUUGCAAGUACUUCAUCCUUUUUUUGAAAUGUAUACAAAUUCUUUUCAAAACUAGAUAGCACUAUUGAAAACCGAAUAGAUCUUUCGUCAGCUUUAUGCCCUGGGAAUGUCUUUUUCAUGGACCUAUACUAGCAAGGAAGAUAGCACUUCUUUUUCCCAAUUUCUGUCGGAGCAUAGGAGCCUAACUGUAGUGGAAGCCUCGAUCCAAGUGGCAAAGCUACCUGCCACCUGUCAUAAAGAUAUGAGAAGUGUAAUUUUCCUCUGGACAAAAAACAAUAAGCUAACACAAAUGGUCAACCCAAUUACUACAUUGAAUGUAGGAUGAACUACUUGUGACAAAUGGUGCUAUCAAGUCCUCUUACUUGAAGGCUAAUUUAUUGUUUAUCUUCAAAGCAUGCAUGUAAAAAGUUGUAUCUGCUUGGCUACAAAAUGGUGAGAUUUCUUUAUCUUUGUAAUCUCCUAGUGGAUUGUCUGAAUGCACAUUAAAGUUUGAUUUAAUGCUUAUUCGAUAAUAAAACUUUUUUUUCUCUAUUACCUUUGUGGAAUUGUUUUCUUGGUUGGGAGAUUUUGCUAUUAUUUUACUAAAAGAGGUCAUUAUUAACAUUUUUUUCUCCCCUCCCCCCCAUGAUUUGUUUAAGGAUAAAGAGGUAUGAAGGGAUCACUGUGGAUAAAUAUAUUAACUAUAAUUUAUUAACAUUUACAGAAGCAGUAACAACAGUAACAUGGAGAGAGAGAUGUAUCAUAAAUAUCUUUUAUAGAACAAUUGUAAUACAGUUUUGAGUUUCACCUGUAAAGUUCUUCAGUCUUUAUUAAAGAGAUUUUUCCCCCUAUGGAAUGGCAUGUUAGAAUCAAGGUAAACUCUUGAACAAGUUUCCUAUAUCACAUUUUAGGGAUAUUAUUAUUUCUUUGAGAGGUUAUUCCUAGUAGUAUUAUAGUCUUGGCUAUCAGCUUUGAAAGCCCACAUGUAAUUUCUGGCCAAACCUGCAAUGCCUGAUGAUUUGCAGAUACCCCAUAUACCCUGCAAAUAAUCUGUGCAAAACAAUUUCCUAGGAGACUACUUCCCAAGAAACAGAGUGAUUUUCUCAUAAGAAGUACAUCCUAGGUGACUGAAAAUUCAAUAAGACCCCUCAAAUUUACGAGACUAUUGUCAGGUCUAAUACAUCUAAUAUAGUCUAAGAUUGAAUAGAGUAAAUAAAAGAUUGAACAAAGAACCCAAUGAUAACACAGAUAUUAAGUUCAUCGUAUUAUAUUAAAAAUAGUAUAUUCAGUUCUGCAAAACAUAUUUUAAAAGACAUUUCAAAAUGAACUUUUAUAACUUUAGUUCUUCCAAAACAGAACUGAUAAGAUAGUGAGAAAUUCUAAAACUAUGUCACCUGAAGGACUGCCUUUUUACUCCAUCUUAAAAUUUUUAUCAUGUACCAUUUGCAAAUGAUAUAAGGAAUAUUAAUAUAAGUAUGUUAAAGGUAUUUUUCCCUUUAGAGGCUUUUCAAUGCAGUAGAAUGGAUAAGACAUAUUCACAAAUGUUUGUGUAUAAGUAGAUUUAUUGUAGAAGCCAAAAUGCUCUUCUAGUAAUUUAUCUUUCAGUCACAUUCUCUAUGCCUCCUGAAGACAAAUAAAGGGUGGGGGGAGGCAGUUCGUAACGUCCUUGUGAGCUAAUCAUUUGAUUUAAUAAAUAUAACUGGAAAGAAAGAGAGUAUAUUAAUUUCAACAUCUCCAGUGGAUCAGGCACAGCAUAAUAUCACACUGUAUAUUCAGAUAGAGCUAAUACAAGCUGUAGUAAAAGUAAUCCUGAAAUACCAGUGACUAAACAAAAUGAAAGUUUACAUCUCAUUAACAUGAAACUUUCAGUUUUUUUUAAGACUUACUUUGGAAUCUAUCCCUCAUGUAGUAGCUCACUAUCUGUCUCUAUCCAUGACAUCUAUAUCAUGGAAAACUUACUUGAAUUAGAUGUGGAUCGAAGUUUGAAAUGGUUUCCCAAAAGAUUUGUAUUAUUUAGUAAAUAGGUUGCAAUUAUUAAACUACUAGUAACUGACUCCAUAUUUCUGAAUAUUUUAAGAUUUUAAAAAGCAUCAUUAUAGAACAAAAAGUGC
This 30806-nucleotide long non-coding RNA is filed under the name Homo sapiens (human). RNAcentral describes it as "non-protein coding LINC00355:5". The record is from RNAcentral. Lineage: Eukaryota; Metazoa; Chordata; Mammalia; Primates; Hominidae.